Portunus trituberculatus (swimming crab) is the source of this 2766-nucleotide long non-coding RNA. RefSeq lists it as uncharacterized. The record is from RefSeq and is a predicted model, not a curated record. The transcript is spliced from 3 exons. Lineage: Eukaryota; Metazoa; Arthropoda; Malacostraca; Decapoda; Portunidae.
AGAGUUUGGAUGGAAGCAGAGGUUAGCGUCACGGCGUGUGUUGUUCCGCGGUGUAGCUCUUCUCACACGGGUAGGUCUGCUGGAGGCUAGUGUGGUGACGGAAGCGGUGACUUCAAGGGUGUUUAGUGUUUGCGGGAUUAUGGAGUAUAAUGGCUAUAGCGUGCUGGAUAUGGUGUUUAGGAGGAUUUGAUGCGGUGGUGUGAGGAGGACGAUGUUCUAAGAUAACUGGCGGUGGUGAUUGCAAGUUUGGUGUUGCGAUGAUUGCAGGUGUGUGGUAUUCGCGAUUAUGUAGUGACGGCGGGAGUGAUUGAAAGGUGGUAUUAGUGGCUUUUGUGCGGUGGUGAUUGGAAGGGUAUGGUGAUGGCGAUAGUGAUUGGAGGGGUGUGCUGUUAGUGGUGAUUGUGUGGUGAUGGCGAUGGUGAUUGGAAGGGUAGGGUGAUGGCGGUGGUGAUUGGAAGGGUAUGGUGGUGGCGGUGGUGAUUGGAAGGGUAUGGUGCUGGUGGAGAUUGUGCGGUGACGGGGAGGGGAUGGUGGAGAUUGUGCGGUGACGGGGAGGGGAUGGUGGAGAUUGUGCGGUGACGGGGAGGAGAUGGCGAUGGUUAGGUUAGUUGUAGGUGGUUUUUGGAGGGGUAUGGUGUUGGUGGCAAAAUUUACCGUGUUGAUGGCGUUUAUGCAGUGGUGAUUAAAGAGGUACGUGUGGUGGUGACGGUAGUGCAGUCAUGGUGAUUGGAGGGGUAUGGUGUUUUUGACGACUGUGCGGUAAUGAUAAUGGCUGUGAUUGGAGGGGUUAGGUGGUGGCGAUUAUGCAAUGAUAGCGAUGGUGAUUGGAAGGGUAUACGGUGAUGUUGGUGACGAUUAUGCGGUGAUGACUGAGAGAGGUAUGGUGUUGGUGACUAAAUUUACCGUGUUGGUGGUGUUUGUGCGGUGUAAAGGCGAUGGUGAUCAGAAAGGAAUGGUGUUGGUGGUGUUUGUCGGGUGAUGGCGAUGGUGAUUGGAAGGGUGUGAUGGUGUUUGUGCGGUGGUGAUUGGAGGGGUAUGAUGACGCUAAUGAUUGGAUGGUGAUGGCAGUAAUGGCGAUGGUGACUGGAGUGGUAUGACGGUGAUGGCGGUGGUGAUUGGAAAGAUAGUAUUAGUGGCGAUUGUGCGGUGUUGGGGGAGGGGAUGGUGCUGGUGGCGAUGGGGAGGGUAUGGUGCUGGUAGGAAAUGGUGUACUACUGAAAAAACGAUAGUAUUUUAGUUAAUGGUGCUGACGAUGAUUCGCGAUGAUGAUCAGGAGAAUAUGGUGCUUAUGGUGUAUUAAGGUAACGACGGUUAUCGGGAAGGUAUGGUGAUGGUAAACUGGAAAUGGUUUUAUUUGGAAAAAAAAAAAUAAUAAUAAUGAUCUUGGUGCGGUGAUGGCAGUGAUGAUCUGGAGGGUAAGAUGGUGGUGAUAAAGUGGAAAUGGUGUCUUGAUAUUGUUACAUAUCGUAGGAGUGGUGAUGUUUUUCGUGAAAGGACGGUGGUAAUGGUGACUGCGGUGGUUAUCGAGGGGAAUGAGAUGUUGCUCGUCAGUCUCGCGAUGUUUGUACGUCCCAAGAAGUAAGUACCUUUUAUAAUGCAAUGACGUGAGAGAAGUGCCUAUUGUGUAAUGGUGUUGCGUGCGGGAGCUAACUAUCUUGUAUGACUGCAAUUACGUGCAGGAAGUGCCUCGUGUGAUGCGAUUACGUGCGGGAAGUGCCUCGUGUGAUGCAAUUACGUGCGGGAAGUGCCUCGUGUGAUGCGAUUACGUGCGGGAAGUGCCUCGUGUGAUGCGAUUACGUGCGGGAAGUGCCUCGUGUGAUGCGAUUACGUGCGGGAAGCGCCUCGUGUGAUGCAGGAGGGCGUAAUGGAAGUGGUGGUGGUUAGUGUGUUCCAGCUCCUUGACACCACCGAAAAGUGUGUCGAGGUGUUUCUCGGUCACCGCCUUCUCACACUUCGUUGGAUUGGUAAGUACAAAAAUACAGCACAUCGCGGGACUUCGUGGGACAUCGCGGGAGCAUCUCAACGAAAAAGCUAAGGAAGAAUGCAUGUUUCAUAGGGCACUAGGAAGAUAGGUUGCUAGGUUGCUAACCCCACAUUGCCUUCCAGGAACAAUUAAUGGGCUAAGCCAUAUUGCCUUUCAGGAACAACUAAUUGAAUAGACAUUUUUCAGAGUAGUACCCAGUAAAAUACAAGAAAGGCAAUGGCGUGGAAAUAUAUUCGCAGUAUGGAGUGGCAAUGGCUGUGGAGUUAAAGCACUGCAGGAGUUGUAGAGUAUCAUGAACAUUACCAAGAUUAUUUGUAAACACCGCAGCAUUUGUGCAAGCUCAAGAAGGGAAAGAAAUUAGUCACAGCAGCUUUAAAAAGGAGCUCUGGAAACUGCAACCCUGGAAUUAUGGCAGCCAUUGUUAAAGGUUGGUAAAAAGUGUUUUCUGGUCGGUAAUCCCUUCCCUCCAGCAGGACACUAACCCCUUCUCUCCUACAGGAUGCUAACCCCUUCUCUCCUACAGGAUGCUAACCCCUUCUCUCCUACAGGAUGCUAACCCUUCUCUCCUACAGGAUGCUAACCCCUUCUCUCCUACAGGAUGCUAACCCCUUCUCUCCUACAGGAUGCUAACCCCUUCUCUCCUACAGGAUGCUAACCCCUUCUCUCCUACAGGAUGCUAACCCCUUCUCUCCUACAGGAUGCUAACCCCUUCUCUCCUACAGGAUGCUAACCCCUUCUCUCUUACAGGAUGCUAACCCCUUCUCUCCUACAGGAUGCUAACC